AAAAGAGAGUAAGAGCAGUUGGGGGAUGCCUAGGCUCUUGGAGGCGAAGAAGGACGUGUUAAGCUGCGAAAAUUAUCGGGGAGUCGCAAAAAGGUUUUGAUCCGAUAGAGUCCGAAUGGGGCAACCCGUAAUCUUGAAGAGAUUACAUUCCGCAAGGAAGGCUAACGUGGGGAACUGAAACAUCUAAGUACCCAUAGGAAGAGAAAACAAUAGUGAUUUCCGGAGUAGUGGCGAGCGAAAUGGAAAUAGCCCAAACCGAAAAUGUUACGGCACUUUCGGGGUUGUAGGACUGAGUAAAGUUAUUGACAAAGAAUCAGAAUGUUUUGGGAAAGACAACGAAACAAGGUGAAAGUCCUGUACGAGUAAUGCGUCAAUGAUGAUCAGCAUCCUGAGUAAGCGGGGACAAGAGGAAUCCCCGUUGAAACCGCCGGUACCAUCCGGCAAGGCUAAAUACUACCAAGAGACCGAUAGUGAACUAGUACCGUGAGGGAAAGGUGAAAAGUACUCCGAAUAGGAGGGUGAAAAGAACCUGAAACCAACUGCUUACAAGCUGUUGGAGCUGCUUCGUGCAGUGACAACGUGCCUUUUGCAUAAUGAGCCUACGAGUUGCUCCUCACUAGCAAGGUUAAGCACUUCAGGUGCGCAUCCGGAGCGAAAGCGAGUCUUAAUAGGGCGUAUAGUUAGUGGGGGCAGACGCGAAACCUUGUGAUCUACCCUUGUCCAGGUUGAAGGUGUGGUAACACACACUGGAGGACCGAACCAGUUGACGUUGAAAAGUCUUUGGAUGAGAUGAGGGUAGGGGUGAAAGGCUAAUCAAACUGGGAGAUAGCUCGUACUCCCCGAAAUGCCUUUAGGGGCAGCCUCGAGGUCGAGUUUGUUACAGGUAGAGCUACCAAUAGGACUAGGGGGAGUCAAAUCCUACCAAAUCCUGAUGAACUCCGAAUGGUAACAAAUAUACUCGGGAGAGAGGGCUAGGGUGCUAAGGCCCUAGUCCGAGAGGAGAAGAAUCCGGACCAUCAGCUAAGGUCCCGAAGUGUUAGCUAAGUUGACCUAAGGGGGUCCAAUCACAGAGACAGCCAGGAUGUUGGCUUGGAAGCAGCCAUUCAUUUAAAGAGUGCGUAACAGCUCACUGGUCGAGUGAUAGGGCAUCGAUAAUGAUCGGGCAUAAGUUAACCACCGAAGCUGUGGACUGAGCAAUCAGUGGUAGGGGAGCAUUCUAAAUGCGAUGAAUGCGUAUCGUGAGGUAUGCUGGAGCGUUUAGAAAAGCAAAUGUAGGCAUGAGUAACGAUAAAACAAGUGAAAAUCUUGUUCGCCGUAAGACUAAGGUUUCCUGAGCUACGUUCAACGACUCAGGGUUAGUCGGGACCUAAGGAUAACCCGAAAGGGGGAUUCGAUGGCAAAUCGGUUAAUAAUCCGAUACCUGCUUGUUAAGUAUGGGGUGACGGAGUGGUACAACCAUCGCGCACGAACGGUAUGUGCGUUGAAGCUGAAAGAUUAGAUAUUUAAUAGGAAAAUCCGUUAGAUGGACGAUUAAGCGACAGUACAGCGAGCCUACGGGUAAGCUGAUAGUAUGGACUGACACUUCCAAGAAAAACCUCGUUACGUUAAACAACAAGCGGCCCGUACCGCAAACCGACACAGGUGGUCGAGGAGAGUAUCCUCAGGCGCUCGAGUGAAUCACGGCUAAGGAACUAGGCAAAAUAACCCUGUAACUUCGGGAGAAGGGGUACCUACUUAGAAAUAAGAGGUCACAGUAAAAAGGCCCAGGCGACUGUUUAACAAAAACACAGGACUCUGCGAAGUCGUAAGACGAAGUAUAGGGUCUGACACCUGCCCGGUGCCGGAAGGUUAAGAGGGGGGCUUAGCGCAAGCGAGGGUCUGAAUUGAAGCCCCGGUAAACGGCGGCCGUAACUAUAACGGUCCUAAGGUAGCGAAAUUCCUUGUCGGGUAAGUUCCGACCUGCACGAAGUGAGCUCGGUGAAAUUGUAGUCCCGGUGAAGAUGCCGGGUACCCGCCACGGGACGGAAAGACCCCGUGAACCUUUACUACAACUUUGCACUGUUUUCGGAUAAUGGAUGUGUAGGAUAGGCGGGAGAUAUUGAAGUGGUGUCGCUAGGCAUCAUGGAAUCAACGUUGAAAUACCGCCCUUCUGUUAUCUGGAGACUAACCUAUUAAGGGACACUGCAUGGUGGGUAGUUUGACUGGGGUGGUCGCCUCCAAAAGUGUAUCGGAGGCUCCCAAAGGUACCCUCAGCACGGUCGGUAAUCGUGCGCAGAGUGCAAUAGUACAAGGGUGCUUGACUGUGAGACAAACAGGUCGAACAGGGACGAAAGUCGGGUAUAGUGAUCCGGUGGUUCCGCAUGGGUGGGCCAUCGCUCAAAGGAUAAAAGGUACUCCGGGGAUAACAGGCUGAUCUCCCCCAAGAGCUCAUAUCGACGGGGAGGUUUGGCACCUCGA
RNAcentral lists this ribosomal RNA (2457 nucleotides) under microbial mat metagenome. RNAcentral describes it as "bacterial LSU rRNA". It matches the Rfam family "Bacterial large subunit ribosomal RNA", at positions 1 to 2529 of the family's 2925-position model. The record is from RNAcentral.